UGGGGAAUUUUGGACAAUGGGCGAAAGCCUGAUCCAGCAAUGCCGCGUGUGUGAAGAAGGCCUUCGGGUUGUAAAGCACUUUUGUCCGGAAAGAAAUCCUUGGCUCUAAUACAGUCGGGGGAUGACGGUACCGGAAGAAUAAGCACCGGCUAACUACGUGCCAGCAGCCGCGGUAAUACGUAGGGUGCAAGCGUUAAUCGGAAUUACUGGGCGUAAAGCGUGCGCAGGCGGUUUUGUAAGACGGAUGUGAAAUCCCCGGGCUUAACCUGGGAACUGCAUUCGUGACUGCAAGGCUAGAGUAUGGCAGAGGGGGGUAGAAUUCCACGUGUAGCAGUGAAAUGCGUAGAGAUGUGGAGGAAUACCGAUGGCGAAGGCAGCCCCCUGGGCCAAUACUGACGCUCAUGCACGAAAGCGUGGGGAGCAAACAGGAUUAGAUACCCUGGUAGUCCACGCCCUAAACGAUGUCAACUAGUUGUUGGGGAUUCAUUUCCUUAGUAACGUAGCUAACGCGUGAAGUUGACCGCCUGGGGGAGUACGGUCGCAAGAUUAAAACUUAAAUGAAUUGACGGGGUCAUAGCUGUUUCCU
This 586-nucleotide ribosomal RNA is filed under the name uncultured bacterium. RNAcentral's name for it is "partial 16S ribosomal RNA". It matches the Rfam family "Bacterial small subunit ribosomal RNA", at positions 355 to 1375 of the family's 1533-position model. The record is from RNAcentral.